Molecule: long non-coding RNA, 263 nt
Organism: Etheostoma cragini (Arkansas darter)
Lineage: Eukaryota; Metazoa; Chordata; Actinopteri; Perciformes; Percidae
Exons: 2
Source: RefSeq, a predicted model, not a curated record
UUUACAAAGUUAAAAAGCCUAUUGUCCCCCCCAAAGGGACUUCCCAUCUCCAACAGAAACACUGUUAACAACCUGCUCCAGACAGCUCUAUGUAGUCCAGCCUUCACUUCUGAGACCAUCGUUAUAAUGCUUGUCUAGCUGCUAGCAUGGCACGCCCUCAUACUCUGCUUCUGACUGGCUAUCCUUACCUAGCUAAUGCGCAUGUGCGAUUCCCAACAAAGAUGCAACAGAAGUGAGAUGCCUCACUCUGUAGCUAAAACAGA